Molecule: ribosomal RNA, 253 nt
Filed under: uncultured bacterium
Lineage: Bacteria
Description: partial 16S ribosomal RNA
Rfam family: Bacterial small subunit ribosomal RNA
Source: RNAcentral
GACGUAGGGAGCGAGCGUUGUCCGGAAUCAUUGGGCGUAAAGAGCGCGUAGGCGGCUACGCAAGUCGGAUGUGAAAACUCGGGGCUCAACCCCGAGCGUGCAUCCGAUACUGCGUGGCUAGAGGUAGGUGGGGGAGAUCGGAAUUCCUGGUGUAGCGGUGAAAUGCGCAGAUAUCAGGAGGAACACCGGUGGCGAAGGCGGAUCUCUGGGCCUUACCUGACGCUCAGGCGCGAAAGCUAGGGGAGCGAACAGG